Molecule: ribosomal RNA, 601 nt
Filed under: uncultured fungus
Lineage: Eukaryota; Fungi
Description: eukaryotic LSU rRNA
Rfam family: Eukaryotic large subunit ribosomal RNA
Source: RNAcentral
AGCAUAUCAAUAAGCGGAGGAAAAGAAACCAACAGGGAUUGCCCCAGUAACGGCGAGNGAAGCGGCAAGAGCUCAAAUUUGAAAGCUGGCUCCUUCGGGGUCCGCAUUGUAAUUUGCAGAGGAUGCUUCGGGAGCGGUCCCCAUCUAAGUUCCCUGGAACGGGACGUCAUAGAGGGUGAAAAUCCCGUAUGGGAUGGGGUGUCCGCGCCCGUGUGAAGCUCCUUCGACGAGUCGAGUUGUUUGGGAAUGCAGCUCUAAAUGGGUGGUAAAUUUCAUCUAAAGCUAAAUAUUGGCCGGAGACCGAUAGCGCACAAGUAGAGUGAUCGAAAGAUGAAAAGCACUUUGAAAAGAGAGUUAAAAAGCACGUGAAAUUGUUGAAAGGGAAGCGCUUGCGACCAGACUCGCUCGCGGGGUUCAGCCGGCAUUCGUGCCGGUGUACUUCCCCGCGGGCGGGCCAACGUCGGUUUGGGCGGUCGGUCAAAGGCCCUCGGAAGGUAACGCCCCCAGGGGCGUCUUAUAGCCGAGGGUGCAAUGCGACCUGCCUAGACCGAGGAACGCGCUUCGGCUCGGACGUNGGCAUAAUGGUCGUAAGCGACCCGUC